Molecule: long non-coding RNA, 1158 nt
Filed under: Macaca mulatta (Rhesus monkey)
Lineage: Eukaryota; Metazoa; Chordata; Mammalia; Primates; Cercopithecidae
Description: lncRNA (ENSMMUG00000061053.1)
Source: RNAcentral
GUACUAUCAUGGUAAUAAAAGCUGAGGAUUCACCUCCAUAAAAAAAAUAGUUUCAGCUCUCAAGAACAAACACAGUAUAAACUAUUUAUCAGAAUACAGGCAAAAAGACUUUUAUCAGGAUCAAUGUAAAACUGCCUGAUUGCUUCAUUUUGCCAGCUGCUCAGAUAGAGCCAAUUUAUCAAGACAGAAGGAUAGUAAUAAAGACUUUAAUACAUGUUGAGAUGGCUGAACAGGAGUCUGGAGUAUUAUUUUCACUCAAAUUAAUAUCUCUGAAAAUUCAGAGGCUAGAAUUUUUCAAGGAUAGUUUGGUGGGCAGAGGGCCAGGGAAGAGGUGCUACUGAUUAAUUGGGGAUGCAAUAAUAAGGGUGUAGAAAAUGAUCUUUUUGCACUGAGUCCGCUGCUGGAUGGCGGGCCCCAGGACCUGUUGAGUCUUGAGUCUCUAGUCCAGAUGAAGUCAUCCAGCUGUCAAAAAUGCAAAAGUGUAAAUAGAUAUCUCAAAAGACCAAUUUUAGUGUGUACAAUAGUCAUAUUGUUUACAGGAGUAAUUGAGAAAGUUACAAAUCUUGUGACCUCUGAAAGAAUGGCUGGUAACCACUUAACUAUGCCUACAUCGUAGGAGAAUUCAGACCUCUCUGGUAAUUUUAACCUUGGGUCUUUUAUUAGUUUUAUAAAGGUGGUUUAGUUUUGAGAAUGGCUAUUAUCACUUAAACUGUAAGCCAAAUUUCUCUCAAAGUUAGCUUGGCCCAUGCCCAGGAAUGACCAAGGGCAGUUAAGAAGUUGAAGGCAAGGUAGAGUUUGUUAGAUCUCUUCACUGUCAUAAUUUUCUCACUGUUAUAAAUUUUGCAACAGCAGUUUCAAUUGCAUGGUACAGAGAAGGUGAACAGCGAAACAGAAUCAGAAUGCAUAAGUGAUCAGGAAAUCUUCUAGAAGAUGAGGACUGAACAAGUUACAAUAUGAGAGAGGGUAACCUCUAUACCCAUGCUAUAAAUAGAAGUCACAGCAAGCAUAAAAGUACUGAGCACAGGUUAUGCAGUGCUGAGAGACAAGGUCUGAGUCCAUGGAAAUACAUUACUCCUAUAGGAAGAUGUCUGAAAGAAGACAGAAAAGAGCAAUUCAAAUUUCAUGACUUGUAAGGCUGGCACCACUUGGCAUUACUAA